This is a long non-coding RNA of Patella vulgata (common limpet), 514 nucleotides long. RefSeq lists it as uncharacterized. The transcript is spliced from 4 exons. The record is from RefSeq and is a predicted model, not a curated record. NCBI's taxonomy places the organism in Eukaryota, Metazoa, Mollusca, Gastropoda, Patellidae.
ACCAAUCGACAAUAUGAUUAAAAAUUUAAAUUUCUAAAAAUGCCACGUUCUCUGCGUUCGUUGGAUUUCAAUUACAAACAGGCCUUGGGAAAGAUGGCUGAGAUGCAUUUAACUAUUCUGGUAGUCCUGAUGUUGUCACCACUUGCAGAUUCACAGAAAUGUACAGACUAUGGCUCGGGCAAAACAUAUAAUACUGGAGAUAUAUUUGCCAAGGCAGCGGGUGGACCAUGUAUCAAAUACUUAUGUCAGAAAGGUUCACAUCUUGUACACACUACUGAGUGUCUUAACCCGAAUGAUUCCAAAUGCUAUCCUCUUGGUACAUCAAUUACUCAAGGUUGUAUGACUAUUACUUGUAUUGAAAUAGGUGGUGGAGUUCAGUUCAGAAUAACCAAACGAAAAUGUUGACGUAAAGAGGAUACCACCCAGUAACCAUCCAAAGUGUGGGUACAUCGAUCAUCAAUAUAAAGUUUUAAAAAAAGCAUUUAAUUAAUGAAAUAAAAUUAUGUGAAACAUG